UUUGUAGCAAAUUUUUACAAUUCUUUGGUUUAAAUGACUUUGUGAGGGUCACCUAUACCGGAGUUGCCUUUUUGCUUUCUUUUAUUUUUUUGUUUUGCUGGAUCAUUCACUUAUUUGCAUCGGUCCCCUACGUAGAGGAUGCGUAGGCCGGAGCUGACUGCUGAGAUAAACUACUGAGGACUUAUACGGAAAUGAUGAUUAAGGCCAUGGUAUAUGGCGUUUCGGGAGUGGUUCCUAUAUUUACGAAGUCUAUGGUGCUAAAA
RNAcentral lists this long non-coding RNA (263 nucleotides) under Lathyrus oleraceus (garden pea). Its description in RNAcentral is "Pisum sativum (pea) long non-coding RNA (PSAT_LNC026883)". The record is from RNAcentral. Lineage: Eukaryota; Viridiplantae; Streptophyta; Magnoliopsida; Fabales; Fabaceae.